UUUGAUUUAUUUACUUUGUGGAAGAGAAAAGAAAAGAAAAAAAAAAAAGAAAACAAACCUAGGGUUUCAUCUCUAUCUCUUUCUCCUCUCCCACCCCUCUAGCCGCCACACCCCUCCUCUAUUUUCCGGCAGCCCAUACCCCUCCUCCGGCAACGACGGCACAGCCACGAAACUGCAGACGGCAGCAGCAACGCAUCCUCGGCAGCAGCGUGAAUCUUCAAUCCAGCGACCCAGCCCCACGGCGGUGUUCUCUCUCGAUGGCGGCGACCCAUUGCAGCAGGCACGGCAACGUCACGACGGAGCAGCCAGCACGAUUCUAGCAACUGGACGGCGGCGCGCCCUUCCGACAGCUCUGGUUCGACGAUUCUGGUGCAGCGGCGCGGAUUGGUUCGAGCAACAGCACCGUUCGGCGAUUGUUUUGCCGGCGGUGCGACUCUUCUGCGACCCCGACGCACAGAUCUCCAGCGUCGUUAGCAAGACCGUGCGCAGCCUGUGGUUUCCUCUUCAGUGAUUCACGAUCAGCGGGGUUUAAGUGGGUUCGUGUGACUUUCGACGUUGACCCGCACCUAAACGAAGUGUGAUUUGGGUUACCCACCACUUUUUGGACCCAAAUUGACGUUACCCAUCGCUUUUUGACGUCGAAACAGCCAGCUUAAGGCCUUUCGGACUCGACUUGGGAGCCCGAACCUCCUCGGCGUCAACCCACUUCUAACCCAAGUGGUUUUAGUGUGAGUUAGUGGGAAGUCUUCGACAAGCUUAGGAGCUUUAGGAUUUUUGUUUUUGCGGGUAUCGAGCUAGCUCUUGGGAUGGUGAUGGCGAGGAGGAGGCUUGACUAGAGAGACCAUUUAACGCUGCGUCGUUAAGUUUUAAAUUUGGGUAGGAUAGUUAUAGUUGUUUAUUUGUAACUGAGUAUGUUUUGAGAUUAUAAAAUUGGGUUGUUAAGUUCCAUUUUUUUUUAAAGGAUGUGUUAGGGCUGUUUUGUUUAGCGUCAGCUUAUGUAAGUGUCAUUAAUCAGAAUGGCGCAGCAGAAGCGUGGUGAGAAUUGUUAAAGUUUGUAUUUCUAGUGGUUUAAUUCUCUA
Long non-coding RNA from Momordica charantia (bitter melon), 1079 nucleotides. RefSeq lists it as uncharacterized. The record is from RefSeq and is a predicted model, not a curated record. Lineage: Eukaryota; Viridiplantae; Streptophyta; Magnoliopsida; Cucurbitales; Cucurbitaceae.